RNAcentral lists this ribosomal RNA (379 nucleotides) under uncultured bacterium. RNAcentral describes it as "bacterial SSU rRNA". It matches the Rfam family "Bacterial small subunit ribosomal RNA", at positions 524 to 898 of the family's 1533-position model. The record is from RNAcentral.
GACAGAGGGGGCAAGCGUUGUCCGGACUGACUGGGCGUAAAGCGCGCGCAGGCGGUCAGAGGCGUCGGUGCUCAAAGUCCACCGCUUAACGGUGGGAGGCGUGCCGAUACGCUCUGACUGGAGGGCGGGCGAGGGUGGUGGAAUUGCCGGUGUAGUGGUGAAAUGCGUAGAGAUCGGCAGGAACACCAGUGGCGAAGGCGGCCACCUAGCCCGCACCUGACGCUGAGGCGCGACAGCGUGGGGAGCGAACUGGAUUAGAUACCCAGGUAGUCCACGCCGUAAACGAUGCCGACUCGGUCUUCGUGGGGCGAAUAGCCCUGGGGGGGCCCGAGCUCACGCGCUAAGUCGGCCGCCUGGGGACUACGAGCGCAAGCUUAAA